This is a long non-coding RNA of Choloepus didactylus (southern two-toed sloth), 1339 nucleotides long. RefSeq lists it as uncharacterized. The record is from RefSeq and is a predicted model, not a curated record. Lineage: Eukaryota; Metazoa; Chordata; Mammalia; Pilosa; Megalonychidae. The transcript is spliced from 2 exons.
AUUGCCCGGCAUUAAGUAGGGUUUGUGCCUUUGUCAGCCUUCCCCUCCCAGUGGACCUCCCCUCCCACUUCCAGGACUCAUCUGGAGUGAGCUGGUCAAUUUAAGGCUUUCUGCCUUAAUCUUGGCUUUCCACAGUCUGAUCUCAAUGCAGUGUUUCUCCAGGUGAUUGUUUUCCUUUUUUGCUCUGGAAACACACCCUUCCCACCCACAAAAUGAUUGGACUGCAUCAAAUGAGCAGGGAAGAGGCCUAGUAGGCCACAUUUCUUUUUAAUAGAAGCUGAUUCAUGCUGAAAGAAUAUGAUUAUUUGCAUCAUUUUCAUGGCGUGGUAGGCAGAAUAAUGUUCCCCCAAAGAUAUCCACACCCUAAUCCCCCAAACCUGUGAAUAUAUUAUGUUACAAGGUGUGAUUAAGGUUAUGAACCUAAGGAUGAGGAGAUAAUCCUUGAUUGUCAGGGUGGGUCCAGGCUCAUCACAUGGGCCCUUAGAAGGCAGAGAACUUUCUCCUACUGCAAGCAGAAGAGAGAUGUGAGAGAAAUGGCAGGAGAGAUGAGACAGAUGGGAAGGUCUGAAAGAUUUAAAGCAUAAGGACUCAACAGGCCAUCACUGGCUUUGAAGGUGAGGGGGCCACUAGAAGCUGAGAACAACCUCUGGCGGACAGUCUACAAAUAAAUGAGGUCCUUGGUCCUGCAACAGCAUGGAACUGAAUUCUGCCAACAACCUGAAUGAGUUUGAAACUGGGUUCUCUUCUGGAGCCUCCAGUAAGAAAUGCAGUCCUGGUAACACCUUGAUAUUAGUCUGGUGAGACCCCUGUUGGACUCUAACCCACAGAACUGUGAGAUAUGGAAGGGUACUUUUUUUGGCAGCAUUGUUUUAUUUCCCCAGCAAAGUCUUAUGAGCCCAGUCGUAUAAGAUCUGGAAAUCCUGACUCAGUGGAACGGUAAGAUCUUAAAGUCAUUUAAGCGAUGCCAUCAGAAGUGUGUACCCAGAGAAGCAUCAGAGUAAAACAAAAUAACUAUAUGUAGAUGACAAAGACUUAAAAUGUCUGCGAUUGAUUUAUUGAUGAUAAUUUUCAAAAGUGAAAGAUCUGAUGCAAGUUCUGACCAAGAUGGAAUUAACUUCCCCCUUAGCUUGGCUAAACUUUAUACAGACUUCUCCCUAAAUCUUAGCCCCUGACUUCCCUCACCCUGGCCUUUACAGAAUCCAGAUGGAACAUAUAGUACUUUUCUACUAGUUCAUUCCAGAAACUGAAAGAUCUGCUGCCCUUUGUUUCAGUGAAGUUGAGUUCUGGCCUCUUUUCCCUUUUGUAAUGGUCUUGAAUAAAGCCAUCCUUGCCCGUUUAA